CCAGGGUCGCUCUUGCGGUGUCAGGAAUGUGGUGGGGGAGCACUGGGCGUCAACGCGAAGGAACUCGUUUUACCCGCCAGAGUGGUAGAUUGCACCCAAUUAAUAAUAAUAACGCUCACACGGGAUGUUCAAAAGCCCUGUUACCUCCAUUCUCUCCUGUGGAUCUUACCACAGCGCGGAGGAGGCGCCAUUGACAUUUUGCAGUGCCUAUUUGCGGUAAAAUGCAAAUACUCGAAAUGCAGUCUGCACAAACACAAUCCUGGGUUUUCUCACCCGGGCUCACGCUCUUCCUGCCUCGUCAGGCUGAAGUCAUUUUAUGGAGAAUUCUGGGAACGGAUCUGUUGUCAGCAGCCUUUCCCCUUUCCCUGCAGCUUGGGUCCCGAGUCGCCUCUCGGGAAAAGCUGCUUUAUCUUCGGUGAAUUUCAGACACGAGGUCGUCUUUUAGAUCUGUUGGUUGUUUCCUCCACGGUGCAGAAGCCUGAAGUCCUUGCAGCUCUAAUACCCCCUACUGGUGGGAGGCACACUUGUGCGGCACUCUAGGAGAGCGUGUCUGAGUCUACAGAGAGCAGCGUGGACAAGACGGCCAAACCUUCUAACACUGUCUCAGAGCAUAAUGUCUAGGUGUUAUUUUACUAACAUGUCCCCCUGUUUAACAAAACGACUGUGUGAAAAUAUGCACAGCACCAAACUUGCCAUUUUAACCAUGUUUUAGCGUACGAGGCAGUGGCAUUAAGUACAUUCACAGUGUUGUGCGACCACCCCCACCAUCAUCGCCAGAACUUUGUCACCUGCCCACAUGGAAACUCCGUAUGACUUCCCUCCCCCGCUCCUGGUGACCACUCUCCUACUUUCUGUCUCUAUGAACCGGGCUAUUCGAAGUCAUGUCCCUCUUUUUUUUUUUUUUUUUUUUUUUUAUACAUUUGUGUCCAUCACAGAAUUUUUUCCCACCAGGGGAGGGUAGAUAGGAAAAAAAGCCAGUCCAGGAAAAAGAAGCCUUUGUGCCUGUGCCCAGUAAUAUUCUGACUGAUAAUCAAACCUUCUGAGGCUCACCUCCCGGGCUCUCGCGGGAGCUCGAGGAAAAACCCCAGGGAAUGGCUGAGUGCGUUGUGGGUGAACUUCAAAUAAGGAAAGAGCUGCUCUUCAAGAGGAAGACGGGGACGUGGUUUGUACACACCUUGAAACAAUGUGCUUUAGGUUCAUCUUGAUUAUGUACAUUACAAAGCCCCUUUCCAAGGGGCAAAUUAUGCAUUUGGAAGCAAAGCUAAGACAGCCAGACAGUCUUAUAAACAGGUGAGUGUCCAGAAAGAGACUCAAAGUGCUUUUGCAUUUUUCACUCAAAGUUGCGUGCGCGUGUGUGUGUAGCUUGAAAAUGUUUCCUAGCUUUCUUCCGAGUGUGGCGUUUACAUAAUUGUUCCAACCAAUGAGUAUACAAUU
Molecule: long non-coding RNA, 1434 nt
Filed under: Felis catus (domestic cat)
Lineage: Eukaryota; Metazoa; Chordata; Mammalia; Carnivora; Felidae
Description: lncRNA (ENSFCAG00000053483.1)
Source: RNAcentral